RNAcentral lists this transfer RNA (67 nucleotides) under Serendip sp. MZUSP 7987. RNAcentral describes it as "tRNA-Gly". The record is from RNAcentral. Lineage: Eukaryota; Metazoa; Platyhelminthes; Cestoda; Tetraphyllidea; Serendipidae.
ACGUCAUUAGUAUAACACUAUUAUACUACUUUUCCAAAGUAGUGAUCUAAUUUAUUUAGAUGUCGUA